AACUUAAAGGAAUUGACGGGGCCCGCACAAGCAGCGGAGCAUGUGGUUUAAUUCGAAGCAACGCGAAGAACCUUACCAAGACUUGACAUCCCCUGACAGCUGUUGAAAGGCAGUGUCUCUUCGGAGCAGGGAGACAGGUGGUGCAUGGUUGUCGUCAGCUCGUGUCGUGAGAUGUUGGGUUAAGUCCCGCAACGAGCGCAACCCUUAUCCUUAGUUACCAGCACGUAAAGGUGGGGACUCUAGGGAGACCGCCGGGGACGACUCGGAGGAAGGUGGGGACGACGUCAAAUCAUCAUGCCCCUUAUGUCUUGGGCUACACACGUGCUACAAUGGCCGCAACAGAGGGAAGCGAGAGCGCAAGCUGGAGCAAAACCCUAAAAAGCGGUCCCAGUUCGGAUUGUGGGCUGCAACCCGCCCACAUGAAGUCGGAGUUGCUAGUAAUCGCGAAUCAGCAUGUCGCGGUGAAUGCGUUCCCGGGCCUU
This 482-nucleotide ribosomal RNA is filed under the name uncultured Lachnospiraceae bacterium. RNAcentral's name for it is "bacterial SSU rRNA". It matches the Rfam family "Bacterial small subunit ribosomal RNA", at positions 898 to 1382 of the family's 1533-position model. Lineage: Bacteria; Bacillati; Bacillota; Clostridia; Lachnospirales; Lachnospiraceae. The record is from RNAcentral.